CACAAGGCGAGAAGAAAGCCGGCUUUCUUGAGAGGCACCAUCCUGUCCCUUCUGAGGCCAGAUUCAGGCCUCAGAUGCCUGACACUUUGUCCCAGGCUGGGGCUUGGAGUUUCUCUAUGACUCGGGACAAAGGACGUACAGAAGAGAAGGAAAGUACCUUGAGCCCAAGAAGGAGACUCAGGUUCUUGAAAAGUGGCAGUGAGGGUCAGAUGUGCUGAGAUCCUCAGGCCAUUUGACUCGGGAUGGGAAAAGUCACCAUUUGUAACCUUGCUGUCUCUCCAGGAUCACUUUUCUCAGUUUGUUCCAGAAGUUUCUCCUCUGUGACCCAAACUAUGCUCCCGUUUCCCCUCUCUCUACAACUUCCUUUUUCACUUUCCAUGCUAGGAUUUGGGUCUCACGUCAAUCCCUUGGUUCAGAUUCCACACACAUCCCCAUUUGGGCACCGGAUUGCCAGGCAGGAAGACACUGAACUCUAUGGUGGCCAGCGUGACCUGUGUGCAGGUGACACUGACUGCGGCUGCUCCUGCUGAUGUAUCUUGUAUUUGUGGAAGUCUUUUUGUUCUUGAUUCUGCUUAGGGACAGUCCCAGAAUCACUGGGACUCUAAAAAAAGAGAUGAGAAGGGCCCCAGUGACCAGUUACAUCAGGAAAUGAGCUACAAUGUUAGUGGAAAGAAAAGAGCCCUCCUGAAAGUCUCUAGACUAAAAGUGAGAAGAACAUUUCUGGGAUCUUACGGGGGCAGGGAGAGGAGCCAGAGAGAAGCAAGCGAUGACACUGGUGUGUGUAGAUUAAGAGGCUUGCAGCCAUGGUCCCAUUAGAUAAGGUGCAAAUCCAGCAGGAGACCAGAACUAUUGAUUGAGGUUAUCUUCAGUGGAAUAAAAACGCCCUGGAGAUGGCUGAAAUCCAGCCCGUAAUCAACAGGCAUACCGACUAUAAGAUAUUUACAGCAAUCAUCUUCUCUGUGACAGAGAAGAAUUGCAGGGAGAAGUAUAGAGACCCCCCAGACUCCAUUUGUGCAUGGUGCCUCCACACCUUUGCACAGGUAUUCCACCCACCUGCAAGCCCUCCCUUCCUUUACGUGCCUGCUCUUUGCUUCCCACUCUCCACUAAGAUAGCUGGUCCUUCUCUCUGCUCACAGGGUUAGCGUGAGAAUUAAGUGAAUUGAUUUAUGUAAAAUCUUUGGACAGAACCUGGAACCCAACACUCAAAGAUUAUUGUUUUUAUUGUUAUUCUAGCACAGUACCCUUCACCUACCUCUACACGGAUUGGUGGGUUGGUAGUCAUAUGCUUGUCUAUUGCACCCACUUGACGGUGAGUUGUUGGGCAGCAGGAACCAUUCAUUAAGUGUUCUCAUAUCCUAAGAACCUGGGAGAGGGGAGAGUUCAGAGCCUGGUAUAUAGUAAGUGACCAAUAAAUGUUGAAUGAAUAUAUAAAUGAAAAAAUGAACACCUAUGCACUUUUGAGAUGUGUGAUGAGCAAAACACGUGCCUGCUACCAGAGGUGGUCACAUUCCCUUGGGCGUGUGUUCCUUCACCCCUCACCCACUGGUUCAGGCUCUCCGCCAACAGCCCGUGGUCCACGCUCUUAGGGGAGAGUUCAUUUUGCUUUUCUCCAAGGCAGCCAACAUCAACAGCAAUGUGGAGAUGAAAAACAGACCAGGACCAAUGAAAGCUGCUCCUUCUCCAGCUGAGGUUCUAACUGUUUUAAUUCUGCUAAUGAGACCCAGCUAGGAGUAAUCAGGAAACAUCUAAAAUUAGCUGUUUUAAUUUGAGCAAGAGGGAAAGGGACAACUCCGAAGGGGGCACAGUCUCUAGUGGAGAGAGUGGGAUCCCAAGAAACUCCAGAAAAGCCAGAGCAACAUCUGGUGCUUCCACGCCCAAGAGAGUGCCCCGGAUGGACUCGGGAUCUCCAUGACUCAGCACUUACCCACAGAUUAGAACAAUUCACUCGUCAAUUUUCCCAGAAUCCAUUGUGUUUCCAGUUAGCGGCCAUGGCUACAACCUGGAAAAAAUUAGCCGGAGUUUGGUUAUGGGAGACCUUCCUCCAACUCAACUUACCACUUUCUACUGCAUCAUUUUGAUUCUCAUUUGUCACCAGUAAAAGUUAGGCACAUGGUAGGUGCUUCACUGUCUUUGUCAAUUUUGUUGUUUUUUUUUUUUAUAUCUUCUGAAUCCCUAUGAGAAACUUACUGUCUACCAUUUAUUUACUAAUCCAUCAAGCAUUUAUUGAGCACAUGUUAUAAGCUAGAUACUGAGGGAGGGACAAGGGCUUCACACAAAGAGGAAAGAGACACAGUUCUGCCUUAAGAAGCUCAGUCCGCUGGCAGACAAAAUGGAAACAAACAACCGCGCCAUCAUGGGAUAAUCGCUACGUGGAAGUAAGAUACAAGCAACUUGCAGCCAAAGAAUGUCUUCUAAUUAUUGAUCUUCCCAUCUUCACAGAACCUUUCACACAGUGAAUCCGAAUGCCUCUGUCUGGGUUCCCAAACAGACCCCUGCCUGGAGCCUCCUCCCCUCUUCCAGUGUCUGGGGCACUGGAUCAGCCUUCCCCAAACUGGGCGAUUUACAGCUAGAGAAUCGUGACUUCCUCUCUCUCUGCGACCCGCCCCCCUCCCCCAUAAAAAAAGCAGAAAGCAAGUUGGACAUCAAAAGCCUCUUUAAAACCAACAUUUUGAUGACUUAAGAGUAAAUGAAUGAGAACCAUACGGCUUAAAUUUCCUUUAUGAUACACAAGGGCUCUUUCUGGACUCACUUUCCAUCGCUGCCAAGCUAAUGAUGAGAGUGCAAGCGGCCCAAGCCCCACAUCAUCGACAGAUGGCUCCCCAUAUUUGGAAAAUCUUCACGUGGCCGAGGGAGGAAACUGCCAGCCCCCCCAAAUCAGCUAUG
Leopardus geoffroyi (Geoffroy's cat) is the source of this 2883-nucleotide long non-coding RNA. RefSeq lists it as uncharacterized. The transcript is spliced from 3 exons. NCBI's taxonomy places the organism in Eukaryota, Metazoa, Chordata, Mammalia, Carnivora, Felidae. The record is from RefSeq and is a predicted model, not a curated record.